UCAGCGCCCUUCCUACGCACACACCUUCCCGUCAGCUCCCGUUUUCCUUCGAUCUUGGCAACCAAAGAGGCGUUGGCCCCUUGGAUUCUCCCCUCCGAUCCGUAAAGAGUCUUUUCGGCUUCAUGAUCAACCAGUGGGAAAUCAAGAGGCCUCCAUCUUGGCACCAUUCCUCUUCCGAUUGUCUCCGAGUUGGAAUAUAGUAUAUAGUAGAUCUUCCUCUCCAAGCCGCCCCCAAAAUCAAAGCAAUCUCUUUCAAUUAUCUCUCCUCUUAUGGUGACUUCCCUCAAACCCUCUCGCUCUCAAUCAUAAAUCUUGGCGAAAAAAGGCAUCUCGAGAGGAGGCUUCCAGCGGCCGAACUUGUUGUUCUCUCUCGCCUCCGCCAGCCGUUCUUGGCGGAUGGACAUGGGAGAGAUGGUAGAGGUGGCGCGCUACUGGAGAUUGUAGAUCUGUGUCUAUAAUUUCUUCGGGCGGCGCAUCUCAGGUGGAGGGUAUGCUGCAAAGGAAUAAAGCCCUCUGAGUCCAUCCUGUCGUGGUCGUGUGGUGAUCCGACGAGGUCAUGGAUUCUGGUAGGGUUUGCUUCUUCAUGCUGGUGCGGUUAGCUGUUUGCGGGUCGGCUUCGACGAUGAAGGUCUAUGGUGAAGUCGGAGUCGCCCGUUCAGAGGUAGCCGGUGAUGACGAUGACACUUGCGACUGCUCGACGGAUGUCUUUCCCUCUUUGUAGCUCUGUGAUCCCAUGUCGGUGGCCAGGUUGGCCGGUGGUACCCACUUUAUGUGGGUUGGUUGUAUCGGUUUUAGCCCGGUUUUCCGUCAAUUAACCAGGUGAUCGUUGGGAGGUGACUGCUGGGCCAGAGGAGCGUGUGGUUGGGUCGGCGCCCGGGCUAUUUUCAUGAACUUGAAAAUGUCCUCCUUUGCUCCGGUGAUUCUUGCGGCUUGAUUUUUUCUUUUUGACAGUGCUCCUCUUUUUCACAGUGUCAACCUAUGUCCCUGCUCAGACAUGCGCACUGGCGACAUAGAAGCUUGACGAGGCGCGGUGCGGCAAACUUGGUUGAGGCAGAGCUUUCCAGUGAUUGGAUUGUAGGGUGCAUUUUUUGCUCUGUGCGAAUGGCUUGGACAGUUGUCCUUCGUGGUACGCCGUAU
Molecule: long non-coding RNA, 1137 nt
Organism: Triticum aestivum (bread wheat)
Lineage: Eukaryota; Viridiplantae; Streptophyta; Magnoliopsida; Poales; Poaceae
Exons: 3
Source: RefSeq, a predicted model, not a curated record